UGGGGAAUUUUGCACAAUGGGCGGAAGCCUGAUGCAGCGACGCCGUGUGGGGGAUGAAGGCCUUCGGGUUGUAAACUCCUUUCGUCAGGGACGAAGUUUGUUUGACGGUACCUGGAUAAGAAGCACCGGCUAACUACGUGCCAGCAGCCGCGGUAAUACGUAGGGUGCGAGCGUUGUCCGGAUUUACUGGGCGUAAAGGGCUCGUAGGUGGUGUGUUGCGUCGUCUGUGUAAUCCAGGGGCUUAACUUUUGGUUGGCAGGCGAUGCGGGUAUUGCUUGAGUGCUGUAGGGGAGACUGGAGUUCCUGGUGUAGCGGUGAAAUGCGCAGAUAUCAGGAGGAGCACCGAUGGCGAAGGCAGGUCUCUGGGCAGUUACUGACGCUGAGGAGCGAGAGCAUGUGUAGCGAACAGG
Molecule: ribosomal RNA, 410 nt
Filed under: bacterium
Lineage: Bacteria
Description: partial 16S ribosomal RNA
Rfam family: Bacterial small subunit ribosomal RNA
Source: RNAcentral